CAGAUACUCCCUCUGUCCCAAAUUACUUGUCGCAAAAAUGGAUAAAAAUGGAUGUAACUAGAACUAAAAUACGUCUAGAUACAUCCAUUUCUUCGACGAGUAAUUCCAGACGGAGGGAGUAGAUA
Non-coding RNA from Triticum urartu, 125 nucleotides. The record is from Rfam. NCBI's taxonomy places the organism in Eukaryota, Viridiplantae, Streptophyta, Magnoliopsida, Poales, Poaceae.